AUCCCUGCAGUGAUUCCUCAGUAAUUCACCACCAGAAGCACCAUCACCUUCCUUCUGUGUCCCUCCACAAAGCCAGUUGGGACUUCUAGAUAUUUUUGAAGGCAUAUUGAACUAGAUGGUGUUCUAGGGUACUAAUUUCAAGCUGUUGUUCUCCUAACCAUGCCACCAUAGCAGCAAUUUUAUUCUGAUGCAUAGAUUUGUAUAGAGAGGGGAACGGAACAAAGAUAAAGAAACAGCCACGUGGACGUGUGGUGGAAGAUCGUUUGAAGGAGGAGAAGAGCAAGUCAAAGGCCCUGAGGCAAGAGCACACUGGGCAUGUUCAAGGGCCUGCCCUGAACAAUCGUGUACAGGGAGUACAAGUCCCUCAUUCCUCUGCAGCAGCAGGAAAUGGGCUCUGUCCAGGCCACUGGACUCCACUGAUGUGCUGAAUAAGUGGAACUCGUCUUUUUGAAAUGAAUGCCUCGGGUACGUCCUGUUCCCAGCUCCUUCUCCAGCACCCGCAGCCCCUCGGCUGACAUUUCAGAAACACAGCCCAAGCUGAAAUGGGCAGCCUGCCCAUGGAAGAGAUGGGGCAGAGGGAGACUGUGGCCUGUUCACACAGUUUGGUGGAAAGUGAAGACUGAAGGGGCUUCAUCGGGUGCUAUGGGAUACCUGCAUUUCACUGUACAACCUUGGACUCUCCCUCCCUCCAUGAGCAAUAGGAGAACUCCUAGGAACAAGUCUAACACUAGGACUUCCAGCAAUCUUGAGACUAAAGCCAGAGGUCACGUGAACUACAUAAACUAAAUUCCUCCAAAUACAAACCAAGCUUCCCACCCCAACUCUCCUUAGCUGAAAGGGUGCUCACAGGUACUCCAACACCUCCUGAAGUGUGUUGGAAGUGUGCCCAAGUGGAAAGCAUCAAUAUACUUCAUCAAUUGCUAAGAAGAUAUCAUAUUGUAAUGUUAUUAGUAAUUCAAUUAUUAAAAUGUAUUAGUGUUA
Long non-coding RNA from Homo sapiens (human), 981 nucleotides. The record is from Ensembl. Lineage: Eukaryota; Metazoa; Chordata; Mammalia; Primates; Hominidae.